GACGAACGCUGGCGGCGUGCCUAAUACAUGCAAGUCGAACGCUGAAGGAGGAGCUUGCUUCUCCGGAUGAGUUGCGAACGGGUGAGUAACGCGUAGGUAACCUGCCUGGUAUCGGGGGAUAACUCUUGGAAACGAUAGCUAAUACCGCAUAACAGUAGAUCUUGCAUGAUAUCUGCUUGAAAGGUGCACUUGCAUCACUACCAGAUGGACCUGCGUUGUAUUAGCUAGUUGGUGAGGUAACGGCUCACCAAGGCGACGAUACAUAGCCGACCUGAGAGGGGGAUCGGCCACACUGGGACUGAGACACGGCCCAGACUCCUACGGGAGGCAGCAGUAGGGAAUCGUCGGCAAUGGACGGAAGUCUGACCGAGCAACGCCGCGGGAGGGAAGAAGGUUUUCGGAUCGUAAAGCUCUGUUGUAAGAGAAGAACGAGGGUGAGAGUGGAAAGUUCACACUGUGACGGUAUCUUAACAGAAAGGGACGGCUAACUACGUG
RNAcentral lists this ribosomal RNA (495 nucleotides) under uncultured bacterium. RNAcentral describes it as "partial 16S ribosomal RNA". It matches the Rfam family "Bacterial small subunit ribosomal RNA", at positions 28 to 507 of the family's 1533-position model. The record is from RNAcentral.